GUACUGAUGAAGGGUCCUAGACUAGGACUAAACAACUGUCCAGUAC
Trichobilharzia regenti is the source of this 46-nucleotide non-coding RNA. The record is from Rfam. NCBI's taxonomy places the organism in Eukaryota, Metazoa, Platyhelminthes, Trematoda, Strigeidida, Schistosomatidae.